UCGGACGUGGUGCACGGCGCACACCCGCUUGUGCUAAUCGUUGCGCUAUGUCUAUAGUGAUGCGGGAAUCCUGGGUUCGACUCCCAGCGUCCGAA
Mycena leptocephala is the source of this 95-nucleotide non-coding RNA. NCBI's taxonomy places the organism in Eukaryota, Fungi, Basidiomycota, Agaricomycetes, Agaricales, Mycenaceae. The record is from the annotation of a GenBank genome assembly.